ACGUACAAGCAGUGGGAGCACCCUUUGGGGUGUGACUGCGUACCUUUUGUAUAAUGGGUCAGCGACUUAUAUUCUGUAGCAAGGUUAACCGAAUAGGGGAGCCGGAGGGAAACCGAGUCUUAACCGGGCGUUAAGUUGCAGGGUAUAGACCCGAAACCCGGUGAUCUAGCCAUGGGCAGGUUGAAGGUUGGGUAACACUAACUGGAGGACCGAACCGACUAAUGUUGAAAAAUUAGCGGAUGACCUGUGGCUGGGGGUGAAAGGCCAAUCAAACCGGGAGAUAGCUGGUUCUCCCCGAAAGCUAUUUAGGUAGCGCCUCGUGAAUUCAUCUCCGGGGGUAGAGCACUGUUUCGGCUAGGGGGCCAUCCCGGCUUACCAACCCGAUGCAAACUGCGAAUACCGGAGAAUGUUAUCACGGGAGACACACGGCGGGUGCUAACGUCCGUCGUGAAGAGGGAAACAACCCAGACCGCCAGCUAAGGUCCCAAAGUCAUGGUUAAGUGGGAAACGAUGUGGGAAGGCCCAGACAGCCAGGAUGUUGGCUUAGAAGCAGCCAUCAUUUAAAGAAAGCGUAAUAGCUCACUGGUCGAGUCGGCCUGCGCGGAAGAUGUAACGGGGCUAAACCAU
This 627-nucleotide ribosomal RNA is filed under the name Salmonella enterica. RNAcentral describes it as "partial 23S ribosomal RNA". It matches the Rfam family "Bacterial large subunit ribosomal RNA", at positions 562 to 1190 of the family's 2925-position model. Lineage: Bacteria; Pseudomonadati; Pseudomonadota; Gammaproteobacteria; Enterobacterales; Enterobacteriaceae. The record is from RNAcentral.